RNAcentral lists this long non-coding RNA (349 nucleotides) under Felis catus (domestic cat). Its description in RNAcentral is "lncRNA (ENSFCAG00000052619.1)". Lineage: Eukaryota; Metazoa; Chordata; Mammalia; Carnivora; Felidae. The record is from RNAcentral.
AUGCAGGGGAUAAAUCAGCAUUUUGACAGGACUGAUUGGACUGAAAAGGCAAGGCUGAAUGAGAAGCUAUGUUUUGUGGAGGUUUUCCCUGAAGGAGUGAGGACAUCGUUGGAACACUUGAUCUUUUCUUGCAUUAAAAGGAUGAACAGUAUUGCGGCUCACAAGAAAGCUUGAGUUAUAGUCUUCUUCUUGGACAUUGAUGGAAACAUCUGAAUAAGGAAUAUCAACCAAAUGGCCCCGGGCCCCCAGUGGUGUAGUCGGCAACAAAGACGACUUGUUGGAGACCAAGAGCUGGUUGAGUGGCAGACCAUGUUCAACAACGCCUGGCUCCCAUAUGGACACAAAAUUC